AGAAUCAACGCUGGCGGCGUGCCUAACACAUGCAAGUCGCACGAGAAAGGGGAGCAAUCCCUAAGUAAAGUGGCGCACGGGUGAGUAACACGUGAAUCAUCUACCUCCGAGUGGGGAAUAACCUAGAGAAAUCUGGGCUAAUACCGCAUAACACUUACGAGUCAAAGCAGCAAUGCGCUUGGAGAGGAGUUCGCGGCCGAUUAGCUAGUUGGCGGGGUAAUGGCCCACCAAGGCGAUGAUCGGUAUCCGGCCUGAGAGGGCGCACGGACACACUGGAACUGAAACACGGUCCAGACUCCUACGGGAGGCAGCAGUGGGGAAUUUUGCGCAAUGGGGGAAACCCUGACGCAGCAACGCCGCGUGGAGGAUGAAGUAUCUUGGUACGUAAACUCCUUUCGAUGGGGAAGAUAAUGACGGUACCCAUAGAAGAAGCCCCGGCUAACUUCGUGCCAGCAGCCGC
RNAcentral lists this ribosomal RNA (460 nucleotides) under uncultured bacterium. Its description in RNAcentral is "SSU rRNA". It matches the Rfam family "Bacterial small subunit ribosomal RNA", at positions 26 to 518 of the family's 1533-position model. The record is from RNAcentral.